GUGCCAGCAGCCGCGGUAAUACGUAGGUGGCAAGCGUUGUCCGGAUUUAUUGGGCGUAAAGCGAGCGCAGGCGGUUCUUUAAGUCUGAUGUGAAAGCCCCCGGCUCAACCGGGGAGGGUCAUUGGAAACUGGAGAACUUGAGUGCAGAAGAGGAGAGUGGAAUUCCAUGUGUAGCGGUGAAAUGCGUAGAUAUAUGGAGGAACACCAGUGGCGAAGGCGACUCUCUGGUCUGUAACUGACGCUGAGGCUCGAAAGCGUGGGGAGCAAACAGGAUUAGAUACCCUGGUAGUCC
This 292-nucleotide ribosomal RNA is filed under the name uncultured microorganism. RNAcentral describes it as "partial 16S ribosomal RNA". It matches the Rfam family "Bacterial small subunit ribosomal RNA", at positions 505 to 796 of the family's 1533-position model. The record is from RNAcentral.